UCACAUCAUAUUGUUGUACCGGUUUCAGGUCCCUAACAACCGUAGUCAAGAAUGAACUCUGAGGACAAGCACUAGUUGUUUACACUGACAGCGCAUAGAAAACAAGCUGGCUGAACUUGAUAUAAGAUGAAGAAUAAAAACAUAUUGCCGAAAUA
Long non-coding RNA from Alosa sapidissima (American shad), 155 nucleotides. RefSeq lists it as uncharacterized. The transcript has 3 exons. NCBI's taxonomy places the organism in Eukaryota, Metazoa, Chordata, Actinopteri, Clupeiformes, Clupeidae. The record is from RefSeq and is a predicted model, not a curated record.